UGUGCUUAUUGCGCUGUUUAACAGGGACAUUGUAAACCAGAAGAAUAUCAUGAGCUAUCACACUGGCUCAGCCCAGGCUACCAUCGUGACCUGGGCUGAGUUUGUAGUUCACCAUAAUAUGCUUUAUGUGUCAGAUGCUGUGUGUCACCUGUCAAUCCAGGUAGUCUGGUCAGUGGUCCAAGAAACGGCCUUCCUGAUUGGAGCUCAUGUGGAGUGAAACCUGUACAGUGAACCCCUUUUUUUCGCCGGUGUUGCGUUCCGAAAAGAACCCAUGAUAGGCGAAAUCCAUGAAAGCUCUAACGGAAAUCUACCCUGGUCUGGCUUAACAGUUGGGCUGACGUUGAACUGUGAGUACAAAGUACAUGAUUUAAGAUGAUCUUUAACAUAUCUUUCAGAUAUGGAUGCUACCAAUGUUCCAAAUUCUUCAUCAUCUGAGCCACGCCCACAUGGCCCUAUCCAGGAACUCUUUAGGACGCAUUUCAGGGUCCCACUGAAAUUUAGGAACAGCUGUUAGGUCAGAACGCCAGCAGCAGCAUUCUGGAUCAGCUGCAGCUGUUUGAUUGAUUGCUAAUGGGGGCGCUGUGGCUCUGCAGUUUGGUGGAUGCUACCUGAGGACCACCAUGAACCCCAUACUGGACACCAUAUACUGACGGAACCGACUUUCUUCGGCUCCUCACACCAUGAGGCACCCCCCUUCACGCUCCCACUGGAUUGCUGCAGCACUAACAUCAAGCAGAGUGCUAUCUGGCUGUGUACACACCAACUGCUUCAACUCAAGAUGCAGGAAACUGUCCAACAGUCUCAGGAUUUAACAUACCAGCAGGUGAACACUGCUUCACUCUCUCCAUAAAACCCAUUAAUGUGAGGAGAACUCCUGAAGACUCUCUCCCUGUUGUUUUCUGGAAAAGAAGGCCUCUGGAAGAGCAACAUACAGCUCAGAAAAACCAUACAGUUCCUGUAAGAUCUCAAAUAUUUUAGUAGGGUCCUCCCUUCUAAAAUAAAUAUGUAGGAGAGACAUUAGGCAAUGUUGAAGAAAUGGACGGCUGAGCACUUGAGCUAGCCUAUCCUUGUCACAACUGAUCAUUGUCAGCUCUUAAGCUUGCUACCAGAUUUUUAAGUUCCUGAAUUUCUUCUUCCAUAAUUGUCACAAGCUUAUUCUGCUUCCUGUGAUUACUACAGUGCAAAACAUCCAACCUAAGACUAAACUGUUACCCCCUUAACUGGCAGUACCAAAUCACCAAAAAUGCCUGAAAAGGUAAACCCAAAUUAAAUCAUCUGCCGUUCUUGAAUAAUUUGGAGUUCAUGCAAAAGCCUGGUCUCUUUAUGAAGAUGACAAGCUACAUUUUCUAUUUCUGCAGUCAAAAACACUUUAAUUGUAAGUAGUUUGUAGCUAUUACGACUGUAACACAAAUGAAAUUAAAAAAUUUUGCUUCACCCAGAUUUUUCAUUUUUAUUUCUUGUAAAUGUACAUUGAGUGUUGAAUGUAUGGACUGGAAAAUACAAUAAAUCUGUAGAAUAAAGUAUUCUGCUUGUGGA
Molecule: long non-coding RNA, 1536 nt
Organism: Xiphophorus hellerii (green swordtail)
Lineage: Eukaryota; Metazoa; Chordata; Actinopteri; Cyprinodontiformes; Poeciliidae
Exons: 4
Source: RefSeq, a predicted model, not a curated record